UAGCUACUUCCUCCGUUCCAUAUUAGUUGUUGCUGAAACGGAUGCAUGUAGACAUAUUUUAGUGCUAUAUACAUCCGUUUGAGCGACAACUAAUAUGGAACGGAGGGAGUAGAUG
Molecule: non-coding RNA, 115 nt
Organism: Triticum aestivum (bread wheat)
Lineage: Eukaryota; Viridiplantae; Streptophyta; Magnoliopsida; Poales; Poaceae
Source: Rfam